This is a long non-coding RNA of Diachasmimorpha longicaudata, 1043 nucleotides long. RefSeq lists it as uncharacterized. The transcript is spliced from 3 exons. Lineage: Eukaryota; Metazoa; Arthropoda; Insecta; Hymenoptera; Braconidae. The record is from RefSeq and is a predicted model, not a curated record.
UGAGGUAACGAAGUGCGUCGUAGAGAAGGACAAAUGCCGCCGAGUUGUUUUUGUGAAUAAAUUGGUGAAAAAUUAUUGAAUUAAAGGAUGUGAAGUGUUAUGUGAGUGUAAAUAGAGAGUUUAAGUGUUUACGCAACGAGUUUUCGGGGCCCUGGAUGUGUAGUUGAGACAAACAAUGUGGUUUCACUGAAAGGGAGACCGAAUGCUGUGUUUGAAGGCGAAGUGCGUCGGUUAGACAAAGGCGAGUGCCAUAGUUUUGUUUGUGUAAACGCAAUAGUGAAAAAUAAUUAUUGCAAAGUGGGUGAAGUGGUGUGUGAGUAGGAAAUAGGAUAUUCGGAUGCAUAAUUCACGGAUUUUUUGGAUUUUGGAGGUGUCCAGGAGACAAAGACCGGGUGAAACGAACAAUCAGGUGCUACAGCUGUGACAAUUGUGGAGAUCCUUACGAUGUGACAACUGCCGAGAAGCCGAUGUGUAUUGAUAGAUGUUUGAAAGUAGUCGUCGAAAUGGCUAAUGGCACAACAUCAACCAUACGCUCGUGCUCUGUACCUCCCACACAAAGUAUCACAGGAGUAUCUGCUGUACAUGUGUACCUGUGUGAGAAUAAUCUGUGCAAUGGAGGACUUUCCGUUACUCCGACGUCUGCACUUCUAACGUCGGCGAUGAUCGUUGGAACUAUUGUGGGAGUUACUCGAAUAUAAUAUUCAAUUAAAUCAAAGUAAAUAAUUAUAAAACUACUGGAAUGAAAAUUGGGGACUAAAGAGUUUGAGAUGUUUUCUUAAUUUCCAUUUUGAGUAUCUUAACACCUAAUUUUUUAAUUAGGUCGAUUACGUUCUUUAGUCCCAAAUAUUUCCAUUUAAGUGCAGGGAUAGAAUGACUUAUUCAUUUCAAAUGAGAUUUGCCAAUUAUUAACGAACACUAGAUUUAAAUAUGACUCAAUGGAUUUUCGUUAAUAAUUAACGAAUAGUUUAUGCAAUUAUACAUUUUUAAAAAACUCGAUUUAAUUGUUUUUUCGUGAGAAUUUUUGGUGGGAUUAAUUCUCAGAU